Molecule: ribosomal RNA, 276 nt
Filed under: uncultured Streptococcaceae bacterium
Lineage: Bacteria; Bacillati; Bacillota; Bacilli; Lactobacillales; Streptococcaceae
Description: partial 16S ribosomal RNA
Rfam family: Bacterial small subunit ribosomal RNA
Source: RNAcentral
GUGCCAGCAGCCGCGGUAAUACGUAGGUCCCGAGCGUUGUCCGGAUUUAUUGGGCGUAAAGCGAGCGCAGGCGGUUAGAUAAGUCUGAAGUUAAAGGCUGUGGCUUAACCAUAGUACGCUUUGGAAACUGUUUAACUUGAGUGCAAGAGGGGAGAGUGGAAUUCCAUGUGUAGCGGUGAAAUGCGUAGAUAUAUGGAGGAACACCGGUGGCGAAAGCGGCUCUCUGGCUUGUAACUGACGCUGAGGCUCGAAAGCGUGGGGAGCAAACAGGAUUAG